Molecule: non-coding RNA, 103 nt
Organism: Erinaceus europaeus (western European hedgehog)
Lineage: Eukaryota; Metazoa; Chordata; Mammalia; Eulipotyphla; Erinaceidae
Source: Rfam
GUGCUCACUUCAGCAGAACAUAUUCUAAAAUCGGAAGAUACAGAGAUUAGCAUGGCCUCUGCGCAAGGAUGGCAUGCAAAUUAGUGUAGCGCUCCAUAUUUUU